AUUGAACGCUGGCGGCAUGCCUUACACAUGCAAGUCGAACGGCAGCACGGGAGCAAUCCUGGUGGCGAGUGGCGAACGGGUGAGUAAUAUAUCGGAACGUGCCCGGUCGUGGGGAUAACGUAGCGAAAGCUACGCUAAUACCGCAUACGAUCUACGGAUGAAAGCGGGGGAUCGCAAGACCUCGCGCGAUUGGAGCGGCCGAUAUCAGAUUAGGUAGUUGGUGAGGUAAAGGCUCACCAAGCCGACGAUCUGUAGCUGGUCUGAGAGGACGACCAGCCACACUGGGACUGAGACACGGCCCAGACUCCUACGGGAGGCAGCAGUGGGGAAUUUUUGGACAAUGGGCGCAAGCCUGAUCCAGCAAUGCCCGCGUGCAGGAUGAA
This 383-nucleotide ribosomal RNA is filed under the name uncultured bacterium. RNAcentral's name for it is "bacterial SSU rRNA". It matches the Rfam family "Bacterial small subunit ribosomal RNA", at positions 30 to 412 of the family's 1533-position model. The record is from RNAcentral.